RNAcentral lists this non-coding RNA (72 nucleotides) under unclassified sequences. RNAcentral's name for it is "DUF3800-IX RNA". It matches the Rfam family "DUF3800-IX RNA". From Rfam's summary of the family: Actinobacteria, Firmicutes (1 example), Nitrospirae, Proteobacteria, Verrucomicrobia (1 example). Nearby to DUF3800 The record is from Rfam by way of RNAcentral.
GACCCGGUCCCCGAACAGUCUCCGUAUGGUGUGCGUUCCUGUCCAGGCGGCAGGAUAGGGCCCGGGUCGCCC